Molecule: long non-coding RNA, 1801 nt
Filed under: Homo sapiens (human)
Lineage: Eukaryota; Metazoa; Chordata; Mammalia; Primates; Hominidae
Description: long intergenic non-protein coding RNA 652
Source: RNAcentral
AGGCAAGGAAUUCUGGGAAACGUAGUUCCCGCUUAGCUAGGUUGACAUGGUACAAAGCCACAUUACCACGCUAAGUGUGGCUUUGAUUUUUAGAAACCGCCUCAUGCUAAGUCUAGGGAAUACAGUGGUUGAAUGGGGUGAGCGCUGACCUUUAGCUAUUCUGGAGGAACAUGUCACUUUCACUUAUUUUCUUUCAUGUUUUCCCACCCAGUGCUAUGGACUCUGAUCGCCCAACCAGAGCAAACCCAGAAGGACAACUCUCCAAGCCUUUCAAUCACUCCCACUAACCCGUAUUGUGGACACACUAUUGUGAGGCCUACUAAGGAUGUACUGCUGAUGACCUUUUGAAGAGUGGCUAGUGGUUGGCCCAUGUAGGCUGAGCUCAGCUGGUCCAUCCUUCUUGGACCCACAGACUCCCUGGGGCAUGUUCUUCUCAUGAUGAUGACUGCAACACAAGAGGGCAAGACAUCCUACACAAGCACAUUUCAAGAUUUUGCUCACAUCAUCUCUGCUAAAAUUCCUUUAUCCAAAGCAAGGAACACAACUGGUUCAAAUAAGCACAGGCCUCCAAAUAUCCAGAUCUAAAAAUGGAGUGUUCACCUCAAGCUCCUUAUUUAUCACUGCAAGAGAUUCUGGGGCUGGCAGCUAGUGACAUGAGCUGGAAUCCUCUUCCUGAAAUUGCUGUCUUCUUGGAUGGGCUCUCCACAUCUUCCACCACGAAGUAAAAACAAUUCUUGUGGGUGCCAGUGGACCUGCUCUGCAGACCCAGGCUCCUCUCCCAUGGAGCAUCCCAAGUCUGUCCUUAUGGGAAGAAGCAGGAGCCCUGUCUGGCUGUACCCCAAGCUGCUUUCUCUGGACCAAUGCUGUCAGCGAUAGAGCAAACAAGCCAAACAGCAGCUUGAAAAAUGCUUUCUACUUGGACAUACCCUCUUGCUACAGGGAACCCUUCCACCAUCAUGUGAAGAAGCCUGGUCUAGCCUGCUGGAGGAUGAGAGAUCACAUGGAAUGAGGCCACAAUCGUUCCAGCCAAAGCCCCAGUAAUAGAAUUAAGAUCAUCCAAGACCAUGGCAUCCCGCCUGAGAAGUUCAGAUGAGAAGGGCCACCUGAACAACCAACAGAAUCUUAAAAAGUAAAAAAUGAGUGUUGCCACUAUGCAUCUAUUAGAAUGGCAGAAAUCGAAGACACUGACAACAACAAAUGCUGGUGAGGAUGUGGAGCAACAGGAACUCUCACUCACUGAAGAUGGAAAUGCAAAAUAGUGCAGCUACUUUGGAAAACAGCUACUUUGGCUGUUUCUUACAACACUAAAUAUGCUAUUAUUAUAUGAUCCAGAAGUUUUGCUCCUUAGCACUUACCCAAAAAAGUUGAAAACUUAUGUACACACAAAAACCUGCACAUGGAUAUUCACAGCAGUUUUUGAUAUGGUUUGGCUCUGUGUCCCCACAGAAAUCUCAUCUUGUAUUUGUAUAAAUUUAUGGGGUACAAGAGUAAUUUUGUUAGCAUGCAUAGACAUGCAUAGACUGCAUAGCUCCCAUAAUUCCCACAUGUUGUGGGAGGGACCAGGUGGGAGGUGAUUGAAUCAUAGGGGCAGGUCUUUCCUGUCUUGUUCUUGUGAUAGUGAGUGGGUCUCACAAGAUCUGAUGGUUUUAAAUAACAGGAAUUUAUCUGCACAAGCUCUUUUAUUUUGCCUGCUGCCAUCCACAUAAGAUGUGACUUGCUCCUCCUUGCCUUCUGCCAUGAUUGUGAGGCCUCCCCAGCCAUGUGGAACUGUAAAUCCAAUUAAAUCUCUUUCUUUUGUAAA